Molecule: long non-coding RNA, 2978 nt
Organism: Lolium rigidum
Lineage: Eukaryota; Viridiplantae; Streptophyta; Magnoliopsida; Poales; Poaceae
Exons: 2
Source: RefSeq, a predicted model, not a curated record
CCCCUAGCUAGCGUCUCAUCCCCUCCACGACUCCACAAGACCGCUGGUGCUCACGAUCCCAAACGGCGGCGCCUCCUCCAGCUCCAGGUCUCUGCAUCGAGUAGCUUGGAACGCAUCCCUGCCCUGGAUGCUCGCCUAUCUCGCGCGGCAUCAGGCGAGCCCUAGUGUUGUCGCCAUGCCCACCCGCGCGGCCAGGGAACCAGUUCGGGCAACCGCCCAGCCAUCUCCGUGACGGCAACAAGGCUAGGCAACGGCCACUCCUCCGGCAACCAAGCCCUCUACCAGACUACCACUUUGCCCACCAGGUACCUCUGUACCUCUCCCUCCCCGGUUUCGCCACCGCUAUCUGGUAUGUGGAGGUGUGAACUCUUAAUCGACAAAUUUUCGAGGUGUGACAUCGGGUUUUUGUGCUGGUUGGGCGGACGAUGUGCAAUUCUGUGCACAACAUAGGCUGCUGGGCACUCAAGAUUCUCGUGGUGGCCGUCAUGGUAUUCUUCGAUAGCAAGUAGCAACAACACUGGCCUGCCUAGGCAGUCACAGACGCAGUAGCACGUGAAAUUCGAGGUGUAUGUGUGCGACUGCAUCAAAAUCCAUGCCUGAUGGCUGAUUCCUCCUUUAUAAUUUGGAUUCACCUGUCCUUUCAAUGCAGAGGAUAUAUGCAUGGGAGGUUUCUUUCAGAUCGCACAACAUAUACGUCUGAUGUUGUUCAGUUUAAACUGAUCCACCAUUUUAGUUUGACCUCUGAAAAAUACAUGCUAUGCAAUCUAUAUAAAUUAUUAGCUGCAACCAGAUGUUUGAAAGAAUGACUUAGAAACUUAUUCAUUUUCUUCUUAUUCAUUAGGAAGCAAAUUAAUUAUAAUAUCUGAACCAUAGCGUGUGAAUAUCUAAUAUUAUUAUGCAUUUGGUAAGCCACUUGGAGUAGUUCUUUCAUUUUCUUCUGCAUGAUCCAUUUUACAUACUUAUCAUAUAACCCUGCUCAAUUCUCUCUGAAAGUUUAUUCACACACUGUUACAUCAUUAAUUUCCAUGAUAUCUAGCUUUCUCGGAGUGUAUGAUAUGUACAGCAUUGCAAAUUCAGGGCGUGCAAUCUUGUGGCAAUUAAUUAUGUUUAUGUUUGAUCAAAUAAAAAGCAUCACAAACUAAGGAAUCUUUGAUAUAACUGUGAUGGUGUUCUAUAUUUUUCAUUAGAAAAAGAUUACCAAAGCAAUGGAGAAAGAAGAAGUCACAUGAUCCACGCUAUUGUAAGGCCAUAUAAGGCUAGGGUGUGAUUGGGCACAUAGUGCAAGGCCUGGUCCUUGUCGUGCAUUAUAAUAUCUCGGGCUGGAUAUAUCACUUGUGAAAUCACCAAAAAUUAGCAAUCCAAGGUCGUUACAUAUGGGUAAACUGUAAUGGACAUCAGUAUCUGAGUGUGGAGCUUCAUUACCUGCUUGGCUGGUAAUACUUCUGUGCAUGUCUUCUGCACAAUCAUAUGUUUGUACAUUUGAAAUCCUUUCAGGUUGAAUAGACAACAGAGUAGCAAGCCAGAAAUAGCAAUGAUAGUGGCGGACGCUGUCAUCCUGGAACAUGCCACUGGACAGUACCUAUGAUAUCUCUUAUUUGUUUUACUAUUGAUUUAGUUAAUGUGCCAUUAGCAUUAUUUAAUUGGAGGCAAAGGAGAAAUAUUAUGUUUGAAAACUGAUAGUCUAAUAAUAUUUAUCCAACUUGUUGUAUUAAUUGAUUAUAAACCAUCAUAUAUUUCAGACUGAGAUCUCGCCUUGAAAUUUUAUUGUACUCCUAAACUUUCAUUGUUUAGGUGGCACAAGUAAUAGUGAACAACGUGUCUCUGGAAAAAAAACUUAUAAAUCAUCCUUUUGGAUGUUUGCUUUCUCUUAGGUCUUUAUGUGGCCACGGGUGAUGAUUACCAUGUCUACGCACUUUUCCUAGAUACACUUCACUUUCCUCAAUGUUCUUAAGUUCUCCUUGCUAGGAGCUUGCAUGCUCUGCUCAGGAACAGUUAUUUUGAUUUCACUUGUACAUAUCGUUCAAGACAGGUAUACUUACUCGGCUAUUAAUUUUAUUCUCUUUGUGCAAAACGUUUAUUCGGGCAACAAGGGGGUGAAACUAAAAAUGCAAAAGAGAGUUUGAUUGCUUAUCAAGUAUAGUAUCCCUCAUUAAUGAUUAUGUUUUCCCUAUAUCCCUUUCUGUUUGUUGUUGCCUAUGUAUCUAUACCAAGGAAAUUUGCUGAGCUGUAGCAGGUUUAUUUUUAGUUCCCCUUGCAUGCAGACCAUCCUAAUCGGUAAGUAUGAUAGAAUGCAUCAACACAUAAUUGCUAUUUUUUACAGAUUUGCCACGAUAUCUCAUAUGUUGCAUUCUAUUCUUUGUUUUGGUAUUUAGAAUAAAUUUAUCUAGAUUGAUUAAGCUUCACAUAACUGGAACAAUGAUAUGGUGGUAUCACUUUUCAUUUGAAUGAAUACACAAUUGCGUUGUUUUAUUUAGUUCCUUCUUUGAUUGUUAUCUAUUUUUUUUCCUUCUAUAGCAGUUGUUGAUGUGCAUUAAGGGAUAAGCCAAUUCCUUCUAUCAAUUCAUCAUGGUAUUGCUCCUCAACUGGUUAUUCUAAAUUAGUGGCCAGUUCUUUAGUUGUGAUUUUGCAAUGCAUUUAUAAUUGCUGUAUUCUAUUGUGAUUCUCUAGGAUCUUUUCUGGUAAAUUUACUUGGUCAAUUCCAUUGUAGACUUAUAAGAACAUUUCAGGUUUCGGGGACUGCAUCUUCAAUAUAGUUACAAAACUUUAGAAAGUCCUUUAAAGGAUGUUCCCUUUCUGUAAUAAAACUUGAGUUUGUAUAACAAGUUGGUAUGAUAUUACAAAACUAGCAAUCUGGGACUAUUCAUGAUUUACAUCUCAAAGAAAGAAAUGAAGUGAAAUAGCGAGUUUGUUGAUGUAAAAAAAUGAAUAUCGAUCUGUUUGUAUAUAUGUUAUUUUCUUGCUUCAUAUUGUUUUGUCAA